Molecule: ribosomal RNA, 301 nt
Filed under: uncultured bacterium
Lineage: Bacteria
Description: partial 16S ribosomal RNA
Rfam family: Bacterial small subunit ribosomal RNA
Source: RNAcentral
CAGUCGCCACGGUAAUACGGAGGGGGCUAGCGUUGUUCGGAAUUACUGGGCGUAAAGCGCACGUAGGCUGCUUGGUAAGUUAGAGGUGAAAGCCUGGAGCUCAACUCCAGAAUUGCCUUUAAGACUGCCGAGCUAGAACGUCGGAGAGGUGAGUGGAAUUCCGAGUGUAGAGGUGAAAUUCGUAGAUAUUCGGAAGAACACCAGUGGCGAAGGCGGCUCACUGGACGACUGUUGACGCUGAGGUGCGAAAGCGUGGGGAGCAAACAGGAUUAGAUACCCCCGUAGUCCCUGUCUCUUAUAC